Molecule: ribosomal RNA, 342 nt
Filed under: Salmonella enterica
Lineage: Bacteria; Pseudomonadati; Pseudomonadota; Gammaproteobacteria; Enterobacterales; Enterobacteriaceae
Also listed under: 3 other names
Description: bacterial SSU rRNA
Rfam family: Bacterial small subunit ribosomal RNA
Source: RNAcentral
CAGUGAUAAACUGGAGGAAGGUGGGGAUGACGUCAAGUCAUCAUGGCCCUUACGACCAGGGCUACACACGUGCUACAAUGGCGCAUACAAAGAGAAGCGACCUCGCGAGAGCAAGCGGACCUCAUAAAGUGCGUCGUAGUCCGGAUUGGAGUCUGCAACUCGACUCCAUGAAGUCGGAAUCGCUAGUAAUCGUGGAUCAGAAUGCCACGGUGAAUACGUUCCCGGGCCUUGUACACACCGCCCGUCACACCAUGGGAGUGGGUUGCAAAAGAAGUAGGUAGCUUAACCUUCGGGAGGGCGCUUACCACUUUGUGAUUCAUGACUGGGGUGAAGUCGUAACAA